CUGGCUUUGAAGAAAGCAGGCUAGAGAUUUAUUCCCUUUUUAAGUAUCUCCUCCUACACUGUUGUACCUUUUUCUGUGUUAAAACUUUUUACCAGGAAGACCCUGGCUUUGACAAUGAUCUGUCAGUCCUCCAAGAUAAAAGAACAAUUGCCGAAGACUUUACUGAAGAGCGUAGUAUAAAGCCUGAAAAGAAUUGUCCACUUUUAAGCUGACCUACAUUUAAUUAUAUGAACUAGAACAGUACUUUGCAUUGCUGUUUGCACUGGAUGCCAAACUAAUGAUUGUAGAGUUCAGAGGUUAUGCAGCAGCAUCUAACCUUACUGUUUUGGCUAGUGAUGGUUUGCUGUAGGAACAUCUGGCUUUUAUAUUUAACAGCAGAGAAUCCAAAGAGAAAGGGGAAAAAAAAAAC
RNAcentral lists this long non-coding RNA (409 nucleotides) under Anser brachyrhynchus (Pink-footed goose). RNAcentral's name for it is "lncRNA (ENSABRG00000010459.1)". The record is from RNAcentral. Lineage: Eukaryota; Metazoa; Chordata; Aves; Anseriformes; Anatidae.